GGGAACUUUAUAAAAUUCCAAUAUUAUCAUUAUAGUAAAGACAGAAAGAUCAUUAGGUGAUAAAAGUUACUUUUUAAAGAGGGAAGGGGGUGGAGAAUUGCGGAAGUUGGCACUGCUUCAGUGAGGGGACUAACCUCCUGAGGUGCCUGAGGUAUCUUCUUGCUGAUGUGUUUAGGAUCUUUGGCUUUACUUUCUUCAUUUUCUAUUAGUCAAAUCCACUGUUUCAUGCUCAUCUUCAACGUCUCUCAAGCUCCUAGGAAGGAAAGAGGAACCUGGAAACCAAGUGACGAAGCAAUGUGAGGUUCUUCUUAAGGAUUUGAAGAACAGAAGAAACUGUUUCAGUACAAACAGCAUAUCCAUGCUCAAGCCGAUCCCCUAUGGCAACCUCUCUAUCAUCAACAAUAACAUCCAACUCCUAUUUUCAGAAAAAUCCUUGCCAAAUCUACUUCUCGAGUUUGUGUGGCAAAGAAUAGCAUGGCUUGCCUGCACACUGGAAAAGGUUUAAUAAAUCUCUUUAAUUCCUCUUCAAACUUAGCAUCCAAGAUACAAUGAGCAUCAUCAAUAAUCUCUGUAGGAACCUUGUACACAAACCCCUGGAGGAUUCUGCUUGUGGUUCGGAGCCCACCUGGAGUUGACAUGCUAGUGUUGAUUCC
This 653-nucleotide long non-coding RNA is filed under the name Cricetulus griseus (Chinese hamster). RNAcentral describes it as "lncRNA (ENSCGRG00000025723.1)". Lineage: Eukaryota; Metazoa; Chordata; Mammalia; Rodentia; Cricetidae. The record is from RNAcentral.